This 1104-nucleotide ribosomal RNA is filed under the name Triticum aestivum (bread wheat). RNAcentral describes it as "partial small subunit ribosomal RNA". The record is from RNAcentral. Lineage: Eukaryota; Viridiplantae; Streptophyta; Magnoliopsida; Poales; Poaceae.
AUGUUGGCUAAUAGUCCCAACAUAAGCAGGGAGUGGAUGAAUUUGCAAGAGCACCUUGGGUCAGGGUUACCGUCUGAGAUUGAUAUCAUGAGAGUCAUCUCCUUGAGCUACGACAGGCUACCAUAUCAUGUCAAGUCCUGCUUAUUGUACAUGAGUCUCUUCCCCAAGAACUAUCAGAUCAGGCGUGCCCGCUUACUGCGGCGGUGGAUGGCAGAAGGCUACAUAAAAAUUCUAUAUGGCCUGACCGUCGAUGAAGUUGCAUGUAGUCUGUACGAUGAGCUCAUCAAGCGGAACAUGAUCCAGCCUUCGGACACGGCCAUCGCUAGCAUGUCAAGUGAACGUUGUUGUGUUCAUGGCCUAGUACUCCACAUAAUCUUGUCCAAGUAUAUUGAUGAGAAUCAGCACUUCAUCAUGGACAAGCAUUGCAAAAGGUCUCCGCCAAGUAAUACACGCCAUUUGGUAGUGAAAACAUGGAAGAGGCACGAGAAGAUAAUGACAGGUGUAAACUUACGUAUUAUACGGUCCUUGACCUUCUUUGGAGAGUAUCCUAUGUCCCUCGUCACCCCUAAACUGCGGAUGUUGAGGGUUCUUGACUUGGAGGACACAAUUGGUUUGGAGAAUAAUGAUCUCAGGUAUAUUGGACAAUUACCCCAUUUAAGGUACCUUGGUCUGCGAGGAACACAUAUUUCAAGAUUUCCAUCUCUGCGGAAGCUUAGUUGUCUGGAGACACUAGAUGUUAGAGACACAAAGGUGACACACUUGCCAGCUGGUGUCAUCGAUAAGGAGAAGCUGUGUUACCUUCGUGGUGGCGUCAGCUUUGCCCAAGACCUAGCAGAGAAGAUACGAGAAAAGAAGAACGCAUGCAGAUGUAAGAAGAACAUCUUGGAGACCCUGGCAGACAUGCUCUGCGUGCGUGGUGGUGGCUGCGACGAACGGUGUGAAUCUCCGUGUUCGUGUUAUGCAGGCCAGUUCAGUGUAAGAGCUGCGACGAACGGUGUGAAUCUCCGUGUUCGUGUUAAGGCUGGUGCAUAUUGCACAAGACAGCGAAGCGGCAAAGAAGCUGAGGACGUUGACCAACCUGCAUCGGCUGGCGUUGGAUUUUGA